UGGGGAAUCUUCCACAAUGGACGAAGGUCUGAUGGAGCAACGCCGCGUGAGUGAAGAAGGGUUUCGGCUCGUAAAACUCUGUUGUUAAAGAAGAACAUAUCUGAGAGUAACUGUUCAGGUAUUGACGGUAUUUAACCGGAAAGCCACGGCUAACUACGUACCAG
This 164-nucleotide ribosomal RNA is filed under the name uncultured bacterium. Its description in RNAcentral is "partial 16S ribosomal RNA". It matches the Rfam family "Bacterial small subunit ribosomal RNA", at positions 355 to 511 of the family's 1533-position model. The record is from RNAcentral.